Molecule: unclassified non-coding RNA, 276 nt
Filed under: uncultured Russula
Lineage: Eukaryota; Fungi; Basidiomycota; Agaricomycetes; Russulales; Russulaceae
Description: sequence contains ITS2
Source: RNAcentral
AAUUCUCAAAAACCCUUUUUCUUUGAACCUUUCGGGGUUGGGAAAAGGAUUUUUGGACUUGGAGGUUCAAUGCUCGCCUUUCACUUUUGAAAGCGAGCUCCUCUAAAACGAAUCAGUGGGGUCCGCUUUGCCGAUCCUUGACGUGAUAAGAUGUUUCUACGUUUUGGAUAUAGGCACUGUCCUUUGGAUUCCUGCUUCUAACCGUCUCAUGGACAAUGAUGGUGAUCUGGUCACCGCCGUCUACAUCGGCGGGAGGCUGGACCCACGAAAAGAAAA